RNAcentral lists this ribosomal RNA (921 nucleotides) under uncultured Methanosarcina sp. Its description in RNAcentral is "bacterial SSU rRNA". It matches the Rfam family "Archaeal small subunit ribosomal RNA", at positions 1 to 923 of the family's 1478-position model. The record is from RNAcentral. Lineage: Archaea; Methanobacteriati; Methanobacteriota; Methanomicrobia; Methanosarcinales; Methanosarcinaceae.
UCCGGUUGAUCCUGCCGGAGGUUACUGCUAUCGGUGUUCGCCUAAGCCAUGCGAGUCAUAUGUUCUUCGUGAACAUGGCGUACUGCUCAGAAACACGUGGAUAACCUGCCCUUGGGACCGGGAUAACCCCGGGAAACUGGGGAUAAUACCGGAUAACGCAUAUCUGCUGGAAUGCUUUAUGCGUAAAAUGGAUUUGUCUGCCCAAGGAUGGGUCUGCGGCCUAUCAGGUAGUAGUGGGUGUAAUGUACCUACUAGCCUACGACGGGUACGGGUUGUGAGAGCAAGAGCCCGGAGAUGGAUUCUGAGACAUGAAUCCAGGCCCUACGGGGCGCAGCAGGCGCGAAAACUUUACAAUGCGGGAAACCGUGAUAAGGGGACACCGAGUGCCAGCAUCAUAUGUUGGCUGUCCAGAUGUGUAAAAUACAUCUGUUAGCAAGGGCCGGGCAAGACCGGUGCCAGCCGCCGCGGUAACACCGGCGGCCCGAGUGGUGAUCGUGAUUAUUGGGUCUAAAGGGUCCGUAGCCGGUUUGGUCAGUCCUCCGGGAAAUCUGACGGCUCAACCGUUAGGCUUUCGGUGGAUACUGCCAGACUUGGAACCGGGAGAGGUAAGAGGUACUACAGGGGUAGGAGUGAAAUCUUGUAAUCCCUGUGAGACCACCUGUGGCGAAGGCGUCUUACCAGAACGGGUUCGACGGUGAGGGACGAAAGCUGGGGGCACGAACCGGAUUAGAUACCCGGGUAGUCCCAGCCGUAAACGAUGCUCGCUAGGUGUCAGGCAUGGCGCGACCGUGUCUGGUGCCGCAGGGAAGCCGUGAAGCGAGCCACCUGGGAAGUACGGCCGCAAGGCUGAAACUUAAAGGAAUUGGCGGGGGAGCACAACAACGGGUGGAGCCUGCGGUUUAAUUGGAGUCAACGCCGGGA